Sorghum bicolor (sorghum) is the source of this 1012-nucleotide long non-coding RNA. RefSeq lists it as uncharacterized. Lineage: Eukaryota; Viridiplantae; Streptophyta; Magnoliopsida; Poales; Poaceae. The transcript has 2 exons. The record is from RefSeq and is a predicted model, not a curated record.
CUAAGGGUGGUCCCUGUGGGCCGUGAGCCACCCUAAGUUUCGGCCCAAACUCCAUUAGCGAUUCAUUUUUCAGCCACGAACUCAGCUACUAGGCUAUGGCUUGUCUUCCUGUUAGCUUGUAUAUGACGCUCCGCGCAAAGGCUGUAGUCAUCCCUUCAUGAGUCGAACUAGCCACGUCUCUGUUAGCAUAUUAUGUGUUUACAUUAGUUUUAGUAUCCUAAAGAUCUUAUUUCAGUUUCACACCUCUUCAUAUCCCAUGUAAUCUCUAUAUAUAUCUCUCCAAAUAAUUAAUGGAAAUUGAGUUGAGUUAUCCACCAAUUAUUCUCUAAUAGUCUCUUCUCACACGAUGCCUGGAUGGUCUCUGCAGUGCUUCGCCACAGCCCACAGCCGCCGCGCCGCAUCCGGCCGGACGUCCGAGUAGCACGCUAGCAGAUUUGUUGAAAAAUUAAGAGGAUUGGUAAUAUUGUCUCCUUUUUCCAAAAAUAUGAAUCAAAGAAGAAGGCUUAUUCUCAAUCUGCAUCCGCGGCUGUAACUGUUCCAGGAGAGCAAAUUAAAGAACAAGAUGGGACAAAUCAAAUUGAAGAACAAGAAGAUGCACCAAAUCAAGAUAGAGUGGUUGAAGAAAAUGUAACUCCAACCCCAAUGCCUCCAAGUCCACCUCCGGUUGCCCACAAAGAACCAAUUUAUGAUAUUAGUCGGCUUCCACUUGAUCCGGUGGAAAGACAACACAUUGCAAAUUAUCCCAUCAAUGAUCAAGUGCAGUUCGACGAUCAAAUAUUAUUAAAGGCCCAUUCUAACCUUAUGCACAUGAAUUUGAAAGUAGAAAAAUUGGUAAUAGGGAUUGGCAAUUCAUUCCAUAUGGUUUUAUAAAUUUCCUUGGAUUGAAUAUAAUGUCAAGAAUGAAGCAGCAUUUUGCUUUGUGUGCUACUUGUUUGGAAGGAGAAAAAGUAAGAAAUUAGCAUUUGUUGAAGGUGGUUGGAGAAAUUGAAAUAGAAAUAAUGCACUUGAUUUA